Sander lucioperca (pikeperch) is the source of this 185-nucleotide long non-coding RNA. RefSeq lists it as uncharacterized. The record is from RefSeq and is a predicted model, not a curated record. Lineage: Eukaryota; Metazoa; Chordata; Actinopteri; Perciformes; Percidae. The transcript is spliced from 3 exons.
GAUGAUGAUGACUCCAAGAGUCAGGAUAAGAUUGAGGGAGUGGCUGGCGGCCAUCAGACCACCGCGGCAGUGGCGGUCUUAGCGGCAGCAGCAUCCGGAGGUUCAGGUGUUGCAGCAGCAGGUGUUUCAUACAACAGUCAGGAUGUGAGCGGUGAGUCAGCUGUCCUUUCAGAGUUCAGACACAC